RNAcentral lists this ribosomal RNA (256 nucleotides) under uncultured bacterium. RNAcentral describes it as "partial 16S ribosomal RNA". It matches the Rfam family "Bacterial small subunit ribosomal RNA", at positions 96 to 353 of the family's 1533-position model. The record is from RNAcentral.
UGGCGGACGGGUGAGUAAUGUCUGGGAAACUGCCUGAUGGAGGGGGAUAACUACUGGAAACGGUAGCUAAUACCGCAUAACGUCGCAAGACCAAAGAGGGGGACCCUCGGGCCUCUUGCCAUCGGAUGUGCCCAGAUGGGAUUAGCUUGUUGGUGGGGUAACGGCUCACCAAGGCGACGAUCCCUAGCUGGUCUGAGAGGAUGACCAGCCACACUGGAACUGAGACACGGUCCAGACUCCUACGGGAGGCAGCAUG